Molecule: ribosomal RNA, 253 nt
Filed under: uncultured bacterium
Lineage: Bacteria
Description: partial 16S ribosomal RNA
Rfam family: Bacterial small subunit ribosomal RNA
Source: RNAcentral
GACAGAGGGGGCAAGCGUUGCUCGGAAUCACUGGGCGUAAAGGGCGCGUAGGCGGGAUGGCAAGUCAGUCGUGAAAUCUCUCGGCUCAACCGAGAGACGUCGGCUGAUACUGCCGUUCUUGAGGGAUGCAGAGGAGACUGGAAUUCCCGGUGUAGCGGUGAAAUGUGUAGAGAUCGGGAGGAACACCGGUGGCGAAGGCGGGUCUCUGGGCAUUUCCUGACGCUGAGGCGCGAAAGCGUGGGGAGCAAACGGG